CCUACGGGGGGCAGCAGUGGGGAAUAUUGGGCAAUGGGCGCAAGCCUGACCCAGCAAUGCCGCGUGAAGGAAGAAGGCUUUCGGGUUGUAAACUUCUUUGACAGGGGAAGAGCAGAAGACGGUACCCUGAAAACAAGCCACGGCUAACUACGUGCCAGCAGCCGCGGUAAUACGUAGGUGGCAAGCGUUGUCCGGAUUUACUGGGUGUAAAGGGCGUGUAGCCGGGAAGGCAAGUCAGAUGUGAAAUCUGGCGGCCCAACCGCCAGACUGCAUUUGGAACUGCUGGUCUUGAGUACUGGAGAGGCAGGCGGAAUUCCUAGUGUAGCGGUGAAAUGCGUAGAUAUAAGGAGGAACACCAGUGGCGAAGGCGGUCUGCUGGACAGCAACUGACGGUGAGGCGCGAAAGCGUGGGGAGCAAACAGGAUUAGAUACCCCUGUAGUC
This 442-nucleotide ribosomal RNA is filed under the name uncultured bacterium. RNAcentral describes it as "partial 16S ribosomal RNA". It matches the Rfam family "Bacterial small subunit ribosomal RNA", at positions 338 to 795 of the family's 1533-position model. The record is from RNAcentral.